This 576-nucleotide ribosomal RNA is filed under the name uncultured fungus. RNAcentral describes it as "eukaryotic LSU rRNA". The stretch from base 211 to 364 matches the Rfam family "5.8S ribosomal RNA". Lineage: Eukaryota; Fungi. The record is from RNAcentral.
UCUUGGUCAUUUAGAGGAAGUAAAAGUCGUAACAAGGUUUCCGUAGGUGAACCUGCGGAAGGAUCAUUAAAAUGUAAAUUGACCCUUUACACCCUUCUGUGUAUUUUACCUGUUUUUGGAUGAUGGAAUUAGUAAAAUAUUCCAUAGAACAAAUAUUUUAAACUAUUAUUCAUAAUGAUAUUAGUCUGAUUUUGUAUAAAUAAAAGUUAAAACUUUCAACAACGGAUCUCUUGGUUCUCGCAUCGAUGAAGAACGCAGCGAAAUGCGAUAAGUAGUGUGAAUUGCAGAAUUCAGUGAAUCAUCGAAUCUUUGAACGCACAUUGCGCCCGCCAGUAUUCUGGCGGGCAUGCCUGUUCGAGCGUCAUUUCAACCCUCAAGCACAGCUUGGUGUUGGGACUCGCGUUAAUUCGCGUUCCUCAAAUUGAUUGGCGGUCACGUCGAGCUUCCAUAGCGUAGUAGUAAAACCCUCGUUACUGGUAAUCGUCGCGGCCACGCCGUUAAACCCCAACUCCUGAAUGUUGACCUCGGAUCAGGUAGGAACACCCGCUGAACUUAAGCAUAUCAAUAAGCGGAGGA